UGGGGAAUAUUGGACAAUGGGCGAAAGCCUGAUCCAGCCAUGCCGCGUGUGUGAAGAAGGUCUUCGGAUUGUAAAGCACUUUAAGUUGGGAGGAAGGGCAGUUACCUAAUACGUAUCUGUUUUGACGUUACCGACAGAAUAAGCACCGGCUAACUCUGUGCCAGCAGCCGCGGUAAUACAGAGGGUGCAAGCGUUAAUCGGAAUUACUGGGCGUAAAGCGCGCGUAGGUGGUUUGUUAAGUUGGAUGUGAAAUCCCCGGGCUCAACCUGGGAACUGCAUUCAAAACUGACAAGCUAGAGUAUGGUAGAGGGUGGUGGAAUUUCCUGUGUAGCGGUGAAAUGCGUAGAUAUAGGAAGGAACACCAGUGGCGAAGGCGACCACCUGGACUGAUACUGACACUGAGGUGCGAAAGCGUGGGGAGCAAGCAGGAUUAGAUACCCCCGUAGUCCCUGAGCGGGCUGGCAAGGCGCAU
RNAcentral lists this ribosomal RNA (472 nucleotides) under uncultured bacterium. RNAcentral describes it as "bacterial SSU rRNA". It matches the Rfam family "Bacterial small subunit ribosomal RNA", at positions 355 to 825 of the family's 1533-position model. The record is from RNAcentral.